GGGUCUGUGGUCUAGUGGUUAUGACGUUGCCUUGACGUGGCAAAGAUCGCCGGUUCGAAUCCGGCCAGACCCA
This 73-nucleotide transfer RNA is filed under the name Candidatus Aenigmatarchaeota archaeon. RNAcentral's name for it is "tRNA-Val". It matches the Rfam family "tRNA". Rfam says of the family: Transfer RNA (tRNA) molecules are approximately 80 nucleotides in length. Their secondary structure includes four short double-helical elements and three loops (D, anti-codon, and T loops). Lineage: Archaea; Nanobdellati; Candidatus Aenigmatarchaeota. The record is from RNAcentral.